CGGCGGACGGGUGAGUAACACGUGGAUAACCUACCUAUAAGACUGGGAUAACUUCGGGAAACCGGAGCUAAUACUGGAUAAUAUAUUAAACCGCAUGGUUCAAUAGUGAAAGACGGUUUUGCUGUCACUUAUAGAUGGAUCCGCGCCGCAUUAGCUAGUUGGUAAGGUAACGGCUUACCAAGGCAACGAUGCGUAGCCGACCUGAGAGGGUGAUCGGCCACACUGGAACUGAGACACGGUCCAG
This 244-nucleotide ribosomal RNA is filed under the name uncultured Staphylococcus sp. Its description in RNAcentral is "partial 16S ribosomal RNA". It matches the Rfam family "Bacterial small subunit ribosomal RNA", at positions 96 to 334 of the family's 1533-position model. Lineage: Bacteria; Bacillati; Bacillota; Bacilli; Caryophanales; Staphylococcaceae. The record is from RNAcentral.